This 1656-nucleotide long non-coding RNA is filed under the name Sus scrofa (pig). RNAcentral's name for it is "lncRNA (ENSSSCG00000063228.1)". The record is from RNAcentral. Lineage: Eukaryota; Metazoa; Chordata; Mammalia; Artiodactyla; Suidae.
GCCACAUUUAACUGAGCCUGGAGUCCAGUGUGUGCUGGAGAGAUGAGAAUGCAGAAUGUAUGGAUUCCAGUACCAACUCCAUCACGUAUUAGCUAUAACUAUGGUUGGGGCACCUAACUUCUGCUCUGAAGUUUCCUCACCCGGAAAGUGGGAAUAAAAUUCUUCUCUCAAGAGUUUUUAUUAGUCAAGGAGGAAGAAUACAUUUUUUAAAAUACAGGGAGAAAAAAAUAAAAUAAAACCACAGGUAAAGCUGAGGAGGUGCUCAGUAAAUGGAAGCUACUUCCAAAAUGAAAGCUGUUUCCAGGAAGGCCAGGCACAGGCUCGGGAGUAGGAACGUGGAGCAAUGGGUCACAGAUCCUCCAGAGGAGGCAGCCACUCAAGAAGGGAGAUGCCUAGCGGCCUGAGGUGAGGGUGGCCUCCUGCUCUGACCAGUCCCAGGGCCAAGUCCCGGCUCUACUGCUUAGCCACUCAGUAGCUGUGCAACCAUCGCCAGGGGCUGGGCCUCCCCAAACCUCAGUGUCUUCAUCUAUAAAAGGAACACGAAGAGUACCUACCCCUCGGGUAGCCAUGGCAAUUACAUCAGGCCAUACAUUCCAACGGCUAAGAACAAUUAGCAAACUCGGAUGAAGAUGGAAGCCAAGCGAUAAGCACACGGAGAAUCAUUUUACUGCUUUCCUUGCUUCGUAUACAUCUGCAACUUAUCCAUGAUAAUUUCUUAAGCAAGUGCUUAGGAGAGUCUUUGCACAUAAUCAUAUACAUUAUUAUCAUCAAUGUGCUUCCUACCCAUUAGCCCUUUUGAAAUAGUCAAAAUAAUUUCUAAAACAAUCUUUGGUGGAGUUCCUGCUGUGACUCAGCAGGUUAAGAACCUGACAUAGUGUCCGUGAGGAUGCAGGUUUGAGCCAUGGCCUUGAUCAGUGGGUUAAGGAUCUGAGUUGCCACAAGCUGUGGCAUUGGUCGCAGGCACAGCUUGGAUCCCAUGUUGCUGCGUCUGUAGCAUAGGCCAGCACCUGCAGCUCUGAUUUGACCCCUGGCCCUGGGAACUUCCAUAUGCUGCAGGUGUGGCCCUAAAAAAAAUAAAAUUAAAUAGUCUUUUGUAAAAGAUAGAAGUUAUUGGCGUUCCUGUCGUGGCUCAGCAGUUAACAAACCCGACUGGUAUCCAUGAGGAGAAGGGUUCAAUCCCUGGCCUUGCUCAAUGGGUUAAGGAUCCGGCAUUGCCAUGAGCUUGCCAGGUGUAAUAUAAGAAACCAGCGAUCGAGAGCACCUCUGAGGAAAGAUUAAAGAAUCAGCAGUGGGAGGUGAGGCACCUCACCCCUCGAGCUUUUUACUCUUGAAUAUUCCAUCAUGUGCACAUAUUUUUUAAAAAAGAAACUACUAAUUAUUUAAUCAGAUGGCAUAAUCAUCAUGAAAUGCCAGUGAGGCAUCAAUAAGCAGGACAGCAUGCUUUCUUCCUUUUUCUUCUCUUUCUGUUUUUUAUUUUUUCCUGAAAUUUAAAGCAAAUUGAAGGUAGGGAAUUUGAACUUCUUGCUAGAGUAUUUUGGAAUAAUGUCCAUUUGCUUUUUUGGAAAUUAAUUUUCUACAUCCAUUCACACUGACUAAUGCUCUCUCCUCACGCCCCAAAGAUGAGGUCGAAACUGCAUUGAGAUUUGCUCGCAUGUC